This 279-nucleotide ribosomal RNA is filed under the name uncultured bacterium. RNAcentral's name for it is "partial 16S ribosomal RNA". It matches the Rfam family "Bacterial small subunit ribosomal RNA", at positions 506 to 784 of the family's 1533-position model. The record is from RNAcentral.
UGCCAGCCGCCGCGGUAAUACAGAGGGUGCAAACGUUGUUCGGAAUCACUGGGCAUAAAGCGCACGUAGGCGGUUCGGUAAGUGUGAAGUGAAAUCCCACGGCUCACCCGUGGAACUGCUUUGCAUACUGCCGAACUCGAGGAAGGUAGGGGAGAGCAGAACUCUUGGAGGAGCGGUGAAAUGCGUAGAUAUCAAGAGGAAUACCAGUGGCGAAGGCGGCUCUCUGGUCCUUUUCUGACGCUGAGGUGCGAAAGUGUGGGGAGCAAACAGGAUUAGAUA